This 77-nucleotide transfer RNA is filed under the name Candidatus Peregrinibacteria bacterium. RNAcentral's name for it is "tRNA-Ala". It matches the Rfam family "tRNA". Rfam says of the family: Transfer RNA (tRNA) molecules are approximately 80 nucleotides in length. Their secondary structure includes four short double-helical elements and three loops (D, anti-codon, and T loops). Lineage: Bacteria; Candidatus Peregrinibacteriota. The record is from RNAcentral.
GGGGACUUAGCUCAGUUGGCUAGAGCGCCUGCCUUGCACGCAGGAGGUCAAGGGUUCGAUUCCCUUAGUCUCCACCA